This 33872-nucleotide long non-coding RNA is filed under the name Citrus sinensis (sweet orange). RNAcentral describes it as "long non-coding RNA (CSIN_LNC004949)". Lineage: Eukaryota; Viridiplantae; Streptophyta; Magnoliopsida; Sapindales; Rutaceae. The record is from RNAcentral.
AUGAAUCAUGGAGUGAGCAGUUCAUUGGUGGAGAAAGUGAAAGCAGAGAUUCAAGAAUUCUUUAAUCUUCCAAUUGAUGAGAAAAAGAAGUUUUGGCAGCAGCCAGGAGAUAUUGAGGGAUUUGGGCAGCUUUUUAUUACGUCUGAAGAGCAGAAGCUUGAUUGGGGAUACGGCUUUACUAUGUUCACUCUCCCAACCCAUCUGAGGAAACCCCACUUGUUCCCCAAGUUGCCUCUUCCAUUCAGGUUCUAUACUUAAAUUUUAGACUUUUCUUAUAUAGAAUAUUCUAUCUUAUGAUAAUUACUGGACUAUAUAUUAAGUACCGGAUUAGUCACUUGAUUGUAAACCCAUUAAACAGACACUGAUUUAUCGUUGUUUUUGUCAGCAUUUUAUCAGCUCUCCGUUUCUUUAGCUUUUUCCAUAAAAAUCAUUUUGUUUCCAGAACUUCAAAAUUUCCUUUAUGAACCAUGUAUAUAUGGAAAGAACAUCUUGCUUUAAUUUGCAUAUAUGCAGUUGAUGAAUCAUGGAGUGAGCAGUUCAUUGGUGGAGAAAGUGAAAGCAGAGAUUCAAGAAUUCUUUAAUCUUCCAAUUGAUGAGAAAAAGAAGUUUUGGCAGCAGCCAGGAGAUAUUGAGGGAUUUGGGCAGCUUUUUAUUACGUCUGAAGAGCAGAAGCUUGAUUGGGGAUACGGCUUUACUAUGUUCACUCUCCCAACCCAUCUGAGGAAACCCCACUUGUUCCCCAAGUUGCCUCUUCCAUUCAGGUUCUAUACUUAAAUUUUAGACUUUUCUUAUAUAGAAUAUUCUAUCUUAUGAUAAUUACUGGACUAUAUAUUAUUAUUUGCAUGCAGAGAUGACUUGGAAGUUUACUUAACGGAACUUAAAAAUCUUACCUUGAAAAUCCUUGACCUAAUGGCUAAAGCUCUAAGAAUGGAUCCCAAUGACAUGAAAGAGCUGUUUGAAAACGGGAUGCAAUCAUUAAGGAUGAAUUAUUAUCCUCCUUGUCCGCAACCAGAGCAAGUUCUCGGCUUUAAGCCUCAUUCUGAUGGCUCCGUACUCACCAUCCUCCUCCAAAUCAAUGAGAUGGAUGGUCUCCAAAUUAAGAAAGAUGGAAAAUGGUUUGCUGUUAAGCCCCUUCCUGAUGCCUUUAUAGUCAACGUUGGUGACGUUUUAGAGGUAACACUUGUCUUUCUCUACAGCCUAUGAUAAGUAACGCUAUGUCUCUACAUAGUUUGUAUCUCUAGUAAGAGCAGUGCUAGGUGAAGAAGGAGAGAAAGAUGAGAGAAUUUUGUCCUCUCUCUCUACCCACUCACUCUCUCUCUACCAUUUUCUUCUUUAUUUCUCUCGUCUUUCUCUCGUGCUUCUCUUCACCAAGUAUUUUCCCUCUAAUAAUGUUACGUGACAUCUGACGUGUCUUUUAUUAGUAAGUAGAGUAGAAUUAUUGUAUAAUUUGUAUUAAUAAUAGAAAACUGGUCUCCAAAUUAAGAAAGAUGGAAAAUGGUUUGCUGUUAAACCCCUUCCUGAUGCCUUAAUAGUCAACGUUGGUGACGUUUUAGAGGUUAACACUUGUCUUUCUCUACGGCCUAUGAUAAGUAAGGCUAUGUCUCUCCGUAGUUUGUAUCUCUAGUAAGAGCAGUGGUAGGUGUAGAGAAGCACGAGAGAAAGAAGAGAGAAUUUUGUCCUCUCUCUCUCUACCCACUCACUUUCUCUCUACCAUUUUAUUCUUUAUUUCUCUCGUUUUUCUCUCGUGUUUUUCUUCACCAAGCAUUUUUCCCUCUAAUAAUGUUACGUGACAUCUGACGUGUCUUUUAUUAGUAAGUAGAGUAGAAUUAUUGUAUAAUUUGUAUUAAUAAUAGAAAAUAAAGUCAACUAAAUGCGAAUCUAGAAAUAAUUGGUGACGCGUCGCUUGCAAUAAAAACUAAGUUAAUUGUUAGCAUAGGAUAUAUAGUUGAUGACUAGUUUCAUCUAAUUUCUUCCUCUUCUUGAUUAUACUCGUUAAUUUUUUUUUUUUUUUGGUUCAAUUUAUGAUCCUGCAGAUUUUUAGCAAUGGAACUUAUCGUAAUAUUGAACAUCGUGCACUGUAAACUCAAUGAAGGAAAGGUUAUCUUUUGGUACAUUUUACAGUCCAAAAUCAGAUGGAGAAUUGGGUCCAGCACUGAGUCUUAUUACUCCAAAGACUCCAGCAUUAUUUAAGAGGAUAAGUGUGGUAGAUCACUUGAAAAGAUUCUUUUCAAGCGAGCUGCGUGGAAAGUCAUUUAUUGAUUUCUUGAGGAUUCAAAAUUAGGCGGUUAAAAGUUGUUGAUUGUUUUGAAUUACAUGAUAAGAUUAUAUGGAGUCCAUACCAAUAAAAUGAGUGAAUUAAUUAUUAAGUUGUGAACUUUUAAUUUUAUUACACACACAUAUAUGUUUACCUUAAAUUUUAUUGAAUAUUGAUAAAUUAAAAAAUAAAGUCGUGAAACACAUACUCAGUGAUGAUCUUGCAGGAAUGAUAUUUGCAGUAUUAGAGAAUUAUUGAUGGAAUAGAAAAACAAAAGAAGAAGAAUUGGGGUAGAAAGCGUGCAUGAAGAAAUAAAUGAAUAAAAAUAAUAGUGAUCUUGAAUUUUUUAUUUUAUUUUUUAAUUAAUUAAGAAUAAUUUUGAUUUUAUGUAAGAAUAUAUUUAAAAUUGUAUUAAGUAUAACAUUUGUUCUCAAAAUUAGAUUUACCAAUACUUUUAAAAAAAUUACCAAACAAAACUUAAAUUUUGAUAUUUUAAAAUUAUUUUUAAGUCAAAAUAGUAAUCCCAAAUGAGUGCUUAUUCAAUUACUUGGAUAAAACAAAAAUGAAUUUAAAUUUAAAGGACUUAAAUUAAUAAUGCAUUUUGAAAAGCCAUGGUCCUCUUCUAAAUUUCGUGAUUUCUACCAACGAUGCGGACCGAUCAACAAUAAAAUAUCCCAAUAGUUUCGUAAGUUUUAUGAUUGGGCACGUGAACUUGAUAGGCGCAAUUGUCUAUUUUUUUUCAUUGUUUUAUAUUUGUCUAUAUCUAAUUUGCUGUUUUACGACGUAACACUCGUGGAGGAAAAAACCCAAACAAAAUCGAGUACACAAGUUUGUGUGGUCAGCCUGGUUUUAUAUUUCAAAAUGCCAAUCUAGUGGGAUUAGUACCAAUCUAAAGCUAAACCACACAAUGUGACACUACAUGGAUAAGACUAGUAUUCCACUGUGAAAUCUAUAAUGGCAUUAGGAUUUGAUACAAGUGAUAGUAGGAUUAUUUUGGGUAAGACUCAUUUUCUUAGUAAAGAAUUAAAUUGGGUGAGAUGUAAGAUAUAAAUGGAGGAUUAUUUUGGUAUUUAAAAGAAUGUGCUCAGUAAAAUUAAUUUUUAAAAUUUAUUAAAUGAGAAUGAGAGUACAGAAUAAAGUGGUACUCAAAGUAAAAUUUAGAUUGCAAAUAGCCCAACAUUAAGUUGGCGAUCUUUUUUUUUUCUUUUAUCUUAAAUCUGAAAUAGGUAUGAAUGUUGCUAAAGUUUGAAAGGGUCUGAAUGCCUAUGUCAAAAUAAUAUAUUUGUUUUUUUAUUUUUUGACAUCUAGGUGUAAGUGGUAAGUUGUUUGUACUUAUUAAACUCAAAACAUUUUAAAUCUAAUAUUUUUACACUGAUGACCUUGAAAGUGUUAUAUAUACUUGAAGCUUAAACAGAUAUAUAUUUAUGGUGUUUUCUAGUACAAUAGUUUUUAUAUGUUAUAAAUAUUUACAAGGGAAGUAACUCAUAUAUAAUUUAUGAAAAAUAAUUUUGAUAACAUUAAUUUUUACAAUUUAACAUAAUAUUUAUACAUAAAAAAGCUGUUAUCUAAUUAUAUAAAAAAAACUAAAUUCAAAAUGAAUUUAUGUUAAGUACUUAAUACGAAGUAAAAUUUGAUAUCAAGAAAAUUUGUGAUAUGACAUCUAAUAGGUAAGUAGAAAAUAAAUACAUCUAAUGAGGGUAUUUGGGAGAAAAAAAGUUGAGUUUCCAUUCAAACAUUUUAUUAAUUCAGAUAAAACUGAAAUUUUACUUUUUUUUAUUCAAAUAAAAAUGUCUAAUAAUAAAACUUUCAGAUACAAAGGCAAACAAGCCAAAAUAUCAAAACAUCUUAAAUUAAGCCCAAUUAAGACUUUAGAUAUAAAAACAAAUAAACUCUAACAUUAUUUCAAUUGUCUUAAUGUUGAAUGGUGUACCCUUUAAUAAAUGGAAUGGGAUCUUCUUUUGAUCUAAACUAGGGCUGGAUAUAAAUCGAGUUUGGAUCAACCCGAUCUAAUUUUUGGAUUGAAUCGAAUUAAACCAAUUUGAAUAUAUUCAAAUCGAAUCAAAUAAAAAAUUCGGGUAAAAAAUUUAGGUCAAUUGGAUGAUUAAUCGAAUUUUACCUAAUAUAUCAUAUCAAAUUUUGCCGAUCAAAGAAAAGAAUUGUUGGAAAAAAAUUAAACUCAAACCCAGUCCAAAUAUUUAUGGUACAACAAGAAGAAAUUAAUACAAUAUCUUAGGGAUAAAUUAAAUCUUUUAGGUUUCUUACAAGGCAAACCAUUUAGCGGUGGAGAGCUGCAGAUCGGAGUGCAGCAGCAAUCGUGGUGGCGAAUGGAUCAACCAGCAGCAGCAGUCGUGGUACAUGACAGCAGAAUGCGUAGGCAAGUUACGGAUCGCAUUAGGGCUGCUUUGCUCUGCCAUGACUGCCGUCUGCCAUGCUAUGUUUGGUGAGUGCCGCCGGCUGCCACUGCGUAUGUGACUAUGUGUGGUGUGCUGCCCCUAUGUUGUGUUGUGUGUGUGAAGUGCCAUUGUGCUCUGUGUGUGAAAAGGAUACCACGAUGUUCGCUUGUUUGUACUUUGUGCUUGUAAAUUGAAAUGAUCAAUUAGGUUAGCUCAUUUUUUCUUUUUUUGGUAAGGGACCAACCCGAUUGGAUUUUCAGAGCGGAUUGGGUUUAAUCCAAUCCGAUCACGAUCUAAUCGGGUUUGUUUCUACCAACGAUUGGAUUAGGUUAAUAAUUCAAUCCAAACUGAACCCGAUGUUUUUUGGAUUAGUUGGGUCGAAUCGGAUUAUUUAUCUAGCCCUAAUCUAAACUCUACUGAAGUUUUAAAGAUUUCCAGUCAUAUAUCAUUUAGUGAUAAUGUAAGAAUAAAAUUUAACUUCUUUAUUUUUUUAAUUCAUUAUCUACUAAUCAACACCUAAAUUAUUUGCUCUACAAGUGAUCAUAUCAAGACAGAAGUCAGGAUCUUCUUGAAUUUUUAUAACAAAAUUAUUAUUUUAUUACACCUAAGUGGAUCACAGUACAUCCAAAGGACUAUUUAUAUAUGAGUUUCUUGUUAAAACACAACCCAACUAAGUCUGGAGGGGAGAGGGAGAAAAAAAAGAAAGAAAUAGCUAGAAACCAGAUAAUCCAAAUCUAUAUAAUAUGGAGGCAGAAUCGACAGCUAUUGGGAGUUCUCUCGUGGAGCCUUCGAUUCUGGAGCUGGCAAAUAAUAAGCCACUGAUCACAGUUCCUCCACGUUAUGUUCGCCCUGAGAUAGACCAUCCCCUGAUUCGCAACGACGAUUCUUCAGCACAACAAUUUCCAGUCAUUGACAUGCACAAGUUGCUCUCUGGAGAUGACUCAGAGCUUGAGAAGCUUGACCGUGCAUGCAAAGAGUGGGGUUUCUUUCAGGUAAAUAAUAAUUUAGCAGUGAAAUUCAGAUAAUCAUAAUUAGACAAAACGUUGACAAAAAAGAAAGUAAAUCAGUACCGGAUUAGUCACUUGAUUGUAAACACUGUAAACAGACGCUAACUUAUCAUUGUUUUUGUUAGCAUUUUAUCAGCUCUCCGUUUCUUUAGCUUUUUCCAUAAAAAUCAUUUUGUUUCCUGAACUUCAAAAUUUCCUUUAUGAACCAUGUGUAUAUGGAAAGGACAUUUUCCUUUAAUUUGCAUAUAUGCAGUUGAUGAAUCAUGGAAUGAGCAGUUCAUUGGUGGAGAAAGUGAGAGUAGAGAUUCAAGACUUCUUUAAUCUUCCAAUUGAUGAGAAAACGAAGUUUUGGCAACAACCAGGAGAUAUUGAGGGAUUUGGGCAGCUCUUUAUUGCGUCUGAAGAGCAGAAACUUGAUUGGGCAUAUGGCUUUACUUUGAUCUCUUUCCCAACUCAUCUGAGGAAAUCCCACUUGUUCCCCAAGUUGCCUCUUCCAUUCAGGUUCUAUAGUUGAAGCGUAUCGUUUUGCUAUAUGGUAUAUUCUAUCUUAUGAUAAUUACUGGACUAUAUAUCGUUAUUUGCAUGCAGAGAUGACUUGGAAGUUUACUCGACAGAACUUAAAAAUCUUGCCCUGAAAAUCCUUGACCAAAUGGCCAAAGCUCUACGAAUGGAUCCCAAUGAUAUGAAAGAGUUGUUUGGAAACGGAAGGCAGUCAUUAAGGAUGAAUUAUUAUCCUCCUUGUCCGAAACCAGAGCAAGUUCUUGGCUUUAAGCCUCAUUCUGAUGGCGCCGCACUCACCAUCCUCCUCCAAAUCAAUGAGAUGGAUGGUCUCCAAAUUAAGAAAGAUGGAAAAUGGGUUGCAGUUAAACCCCUUCCUGAUGCCUUUAUAGUCAAUAUUGGUGACGCUUUAGAGGUAACACUUGUCAUUUUCUAUAGCGUAUGAUGACUAAUGCUAUAUUCUACGCAGUUUGUAUCUCUAGUAAUGUUUUGUGACAUCUGACCUUCAUUGUAAGUGGAGUAGAAUUAUUAUAUAAUUUGUGUUAAUGAUAUAAUGAUAGAAAAUAAAGUCAUCUAACACCGAAUUCAUAAGAAAAAAAAAAGGGUUGGGAACACCUUGCUUGCGAUAAAAAUGAUGUUGUUAGGAUGGGAUAUGUAGAUGAUAACUGGUUUCAUAUAUUUAUGUUAUUUUUUAAUUUAUUUACUUUAUGUGUUUAUAGAUUUUUACCAAUGGAACUUAUCGUAGUAUCGAGCAUCGUGUGACUGUAAACUCAGUGAAGGAAAGGUUAUCUUUUGCUACAUUUUACAGUCCGAAAUUAGAUGGAGAAUUGGGUCCAGCACCAAGUCUUAUUACUUCGAAGACUCCAGCGUUGUUUAAAAAAAUAAGUGUGGUAGAUUACUGGAAAAGAUUUUAUUCAAGUGAGCUGCGUGGGAAGUCUUUUAUUGAUUUCUUGAGAAUGCAAGACCAGGGCACUUAAAAGUUAUUGAUUGCUUCCAGUUAUACGACGAGAUUACAUGGAGUCCAUUCUGAUAAAAUAAGUCAAUUAAGUUGUGAACUUAUUCUGUUGGAUUGUGUUUAGACUUGCUGGGCUGUGUAUACUUCAAUGGAUAAACUUAAAUAAGUUUACGGAGUUGUGUAACUUGUAUUUGUAUGUGAAUUAUAACUUGUAGAAAAGUUAAAAUAAAAUUACAUAAUAAAUUUUGUGUAGAUUCUAUGUUUCUUUGUCGAUUUAUAUAUAUCUGCAGUUUCAAUUGUUGUCCUAGGACCUGAUUUGAACCUACAAUUGAGAUUGGCGUAUGAUGACUUGAAGUGAUUAUUUUCAACAAAUGUGACUUCUUUCUAUUGGACCAGCAAAUUAAUGUGUUUGCCUGGAAAGUUUGGAAGAUGACAAUUUUCAAUUUUGCUUUUGAAAAGAUGAUGUUUAUGAUGGUCCCUUUAAAAUCAUAUUAAUUGUCAAACACGUGGUGCUCUUUCAUGGAAAAAAACUUAUAAUAUUUUUCUUCCACUCAUCGUGGUCUAUCUUUUCAUUGACUCUAUAUGGAAAAAUUAUAUCAAACAUCCAACAUUGUUUAAAAAAUAGUAAAAAUAAAUUGAUGAAGAAAUAUGAGACAAAAGUUAAAAGUUACAAAAAGAUUGUUAGUUUUUUUUUUUUUUUUAAUAAGAUAACAUAGUGCUUUUUCAUACAGAAAACUUUGUAUGUCUCCCUUUUAUAGAGAAACAUUUUACGGAUAUCUUUUUAAGUUAAAUUAGUCAUUCAUGUAUCUCAUAAUUUAAUUCAACUUGAAUAAUUACAAUCACAUACAGAUUUAGUUUAUUCAACUCUAAAUUGUAAUUAAAUAUAACAUAUGACUAAUUUCAAAUCAAAUGCAAAGAAAAUUGAUCCUGCUUUCCUUUAAUGUGAGACAUUAGUAUUUUAAAGUAUCAAUAAAAAAUAAGAGAUCCCUUAUAUAAUGAUAUAAGUUACAUCGAUCAUAGAAUUGCACUAGACAAUCACAAAGUACUUAGAUCAUUAAGGGAUCAAGAUCCAACAAAAUUCCAAAAAACAAGUCAGGCCACGUGCAAACCUAAUGUAUCUAUCCUUUAUGCUGAAUAAUCUUUGCUCAAGCAGUGUGGUCAGACAUCCACAUUUGAAAAAUGCUUAAGCGUGCAUUGACUUUACAUCUUAUAUCAACAAAAAUUGAAAAAAAUAAUACAUGUAAUUGGCUUUCCAACACAUGAUUUUUUUUAAAUAUUAUUAUUAAAGAGUAAAAUAUAAAUAUUGAUAAAUGUUGAAGAUAUUAUUAUACAUUAGUUGAGAAUAUUUAUUAGGUUAAUAUUAUAAGAUCUCAAAUCUUUUGAAUUAGUUUUUGUGUAUAAAUUAGAAAAUUUGGUUUUUAUAUGAUAUUAGUGUCAAAAUCAUACAUGAGCAGUCUCACACUACCAUUCCAUUUCACAACGACCAUACAAGAAGAACAGUAUGAACAUGACAAGAGGUUUUGAGGAAAUUAUCCAACGUUUGGCCAGUGGCUAAGAAAAAUUACAAGGCUAUAUAAAAAUUUUAAGAUAAUACUCAACUCUUUAAAUAGUUUUUGAGUAUGACUUAGACUAUGGGCUCUUAUAAUAAAUAAAACCUAACGUACUACAGAGACCUAACUCGACAUAUCAGAUUAGGGCUGGGCAUAUCUGGUACAAUUCGGUUCAGUCGAAGAACUGAACCAAACUGAAAUCAAUCGAUUCUUUAAAGCUGGAACCGAAUACGAACCAACUUUUGAACCGUACCAAAGAUGAUUCGAUCGGUUCGAUUUUGUGAUCAGUUCGGUUCACAAACGGGUGGAUCGGUUCAAAAUGGAUGAGGAAGCCCUUUGCUGGUGAUUAGAUUCAUUCAACAAUUUAUUUAUAAAACACCCAACAAAUUAAACUCCAAUUUAUGAAUCCGAACUCACAAAAUUAAGGAAAACAAGUGUUUUGAAAUUCAGGUGUGAAAUGGAUUAUUGAGCAUGGCAGCUGCUACAAGCACACUUAAAAUUGAUUCAAUUGAAAACAACAGCCUCCUCGUGAACUUCAUGAAAAUUUAUUUGGAUGUUUCAAAUAAUUUGUAAUUAUAAAACUGACCUUUUCAUUUGCUUCCAAAUCUUUCCAUCAAAAUCAACGAAUAAAUAAAAAAUGUAAACACAAGUUACACAAGUCCACCGACACGACAGCAGCGGCGGGCUACCGACGACACGACCACAACGAACGGGAGGCGACGCUGACACGAGCACGACCGGAUGAACUACGACAGGCUGACACGAGCGCGAUGGCGACGACUACGGUGACAGGCUGGCUAAUAAGCGACAGUGGUGGAUGGAAUGUGUGUAUCAGCGAGAGUGAGACAGAUGGUGAGGGUGUAUGUGUGUGUCGGCUAGUGUGUGAGAGAGAGAUGGUGGGUGUGUGCAUGAUUUUAAUGUUUAUAAUUAUUUUAUUUAUUUAUAAAACCGAAAUUAAAUCUAAUUAACAUAAAUUUUGGUUCGGCUCGGUUUGGAAAACCGAAUCGAACCCACCCCAAUCAGAAUUAAAAUCCAUCCCAAAAAAAAAUAAAUUAAUAAACUCUUCUUCACUCUAGGGGUGUUCAAAAUCUAAUCUGAUUUGCUUAAUUUGAUCUACAAAAAAUUUGAUCUACAAAAAAUUUGUUCUAUAAAAAUCCGAUCUGUGGAUUAGUGGAUUGAAUUAGAUUAAAAAUUUAAAAAUCCGCAGUCAAUAAAUUAGAUAUAGAUUUACUUCUAUAAAUUCAUAAAAAUCUGUAAAUUUGCAAAAACAAAAAUUAUUUAAUUAAAAUAUUAAACUUGUAAAUGUGGCAUUACUACUUACUAAUAACAAAAUAAGUUAAAAAUGUAGUUACGUUAAUAGCAUAUUAUAUCUUAUUCAUGAUAAUAUAAAAUAAAAAAUAAUUAAAUAAGUAAAAAUAGCUUCUUAAACAGUUAAUUUUCAUAAUUUUAGUUAAUUUUUAUGUAUUGAUUUAAAAAAAUGAGAUUGUUUCUUCUUGUUGUUUUAUAUUUGAAACUUUGAAUGUAUUUUUCUAGUUUUAUUUAAAUGAUUAAUUUAUUUAAAUCUUAUUAAAUUUUAAAUUUGACAAAAUUAAAAAUUCUUAACUUACAAACUAACCCAUGGCCAUAAAAUUGUGGAUUGGAUAUGAAUUAGGUCAAAUACACAUCCGAUUCACAUGGAUUGAAUUUGAAUUGAAUUUCAAUAAUUCGUAGAUUGAAUUGGAUUAAAAAUUUAUAAUAUAAAAAAUUGUUAAUUGGAUAUGGAUUGAUAUCCAAUCCAUAACAUCUAAUCUGUGAAUACCCCUACUUCACUACCGUCAAGGAAUUGUUGCUUUUCCAAGUCGAAAGUAUUUAGUUGUCCAUUUGAUCAAUUAAUGUAUUAAGUAUCUUAUAUUUAAAGCAAUAUUUUUCAAAUGACCGCAAUUAAAAAAGUUAUUCUCUACUUCAAUAAUUGAAAACUUUGUAUAGUCUUGUUUAAUCACACGAGUUUGGAGAGAAAAGAGAGGUAAUUAAUCAAAAACUAUGUAAAGCAACAACGAUAGCAAGUUCUCUUCUGGAGCCUUCGAUUCAGGAGCUGGCAAUGAAGCCAAUGACGACUAAAGUUCCACCACGAUAUGUUCGCCCUGAUAUAAAAGAUGUAAUGAUCUGCAACAACAACAAUUCUUCAACAGAACAACUUCCAGUCAUUGUCAAAGUCAUGGUUGGGCGGUUUGGCACCAUUAACAUUUUUCAAAAUGGCCACCCAAAUUGAAGUCCAAGUAGAUGCCGCUCAAGGAAAGGAAAAAAAAAGGGAAAUUUUGACAAAGAAGAAAGACGAAUGAAGAAAAUGCUGCAAAUGGUGGUUGGCACACCAAAAUGGAAGAAAAGAAAAAAAAAUUAUUAUUUUAAUAGCCAAUUUUGGCUAUAAAUGGGGGGGUUCCCCAUCGGCUUAGAGCAUCCAAAUUUUUCAUUUUAUUUCUUAUUCUUUAGAGAGAAAGUGAGAGUAUUUUAAGAGUUUUAACAAACUCUUGAGUGAUUUGUGAUUUGAGAGUUUUGGGUGUAUUGGGGUUUUGGGUAGUGAGACAAAAUACCACAAUACUUGUAACUCAUUUUCACUAGUAAAAUAUUUUCCUUCUGUUUUUGCAUGUGGACGUAAGUUAAAAGCCGAAUCACGUAAUUUCUGGGGUCCUCUACUGUGCUUGUUCUUUAUUUUCUUCUAAUUUUAUUUUAGUUGUGUGUCUGCUUCACCCACCAAUUUUCUUAUAGUGGUAUCAGAGCUAUUGGUUGUAUUUUUUGGAGUUGGGUAUUGUUCACGUAUACGACACUGUUCACGUAUACGACACUGUUCACGUAUAUGAUACUAUUCACGUAUACGAUACUAUUCACGUAUACGACACUGUUCACGUAUACGACACUGUUCAUGGGAAACGGUGGGAGUAAUCCAAGAAUUUUUGCGGUGCAAAGUAGGGAAUAGUAGUGUGAGUGGAGUAACUGUGUGGUUUUGAACAUGUCUAGAAAAGUUCUGUCACAAAGGCGAUAAGAGCCUAAGGAGUCUAGGUUUUAAGUGAGACCGUUGUGACCCCCCCAGUCUUUCCUGGGAACUUUCCUGGUGUGCAUAUUCACACAUACUCACAACUAUUCGAGGUGAUACACUGGUUUGUGUACUGUAUUUAUCAACAAAAUGGCGGCAAAGUAUGAAAUUGAGAAGUUUAACGGAAAUAAUUUUUCGUUGUGGAAAAUGAAGAUGAAAGCUGUAUUGAGGAAAAAUAAUUGCUUGGCAGCAAUUGGAGAAGGUCCAUUGAGAUAACUGAUGACAAGUGGAAUGGGAUAGAUGGCAACGCCAUUUCUGAUCUACACUUAGCACUUGCGGACAUAGUAUUAUCCAGUGUGGCAAAGAAAACUACAGCAAAAGAAAUAUGGGAUACUCUCACAAAAUUGUACGAGACCAAAUCACUACACAACAAAAUUUUCUUGAAGAGGAAACUCUAUACUCUUCGAAUGGCAGAAUCUAUAAUGGUGACCGACCACAUCAACACCUUGAAAAUUCUAUUUUCACAACUCACAACGUUGGGUCAUAAUAUAGAGGAAAAUGAACGUGCGAAACUUCUACUUCAAAGUCUACUAGAUUCAUAUGAUUAACUCAUCAUCAACCUGACGAACAACAAUUCAAUGGACAGUCUAAUUUUCGACGAUGUUGCAACCUUCGUAUUAAAUGAGGAAAGUAGGCGAAAAAACAAGGAAGACAUACUGGUGAGUUCGCAGCAGGCAGAAGCGUUAUCAGUGACGAGAGGGAGAUCAACGGAACGUGGCCCCAAUGGGAGUCACAAUCAUGGUAGAUCCAAAUCCAGAAGUAAGAAGAAUGUUAAAUGCUACAACUGUGGUAAGAAAGGACAUGUCAAGAAAGAGUAUUGGAGUAACCAGAAGAGAAAAGAGGGCAAAGAACCUAAGUCAUCAAAUGCUCAGGGGUGUGUAGCAAGUACCUCAGAUGAUGGCGAAAUUCUCUACAACGAGGCAACAACUGUUUCAGAAGGCAGAAAACGAUAAUCUGAUGUCUGGCUUAUAGACUCAAGAGCUACCUGGCACAUGACCUCUUGGAGAAAAUAGUUUCACACAUAUGAACCUAUCUCAGGAGUAUCUGUAUAUAUGGGUAAUGAUCAUGCCUUGGAGAUCGCUGAUAUUGGUACUAUCAAAAUAAAAAUGUUUGAUAGUGCAAUUCGCACAAUUAGGGAGGUACGUCAUGUCAACGGCCUGAAGAAAAAUCUAUUGUCUUUGAGACAAAUGGAUAGUCAUGGGUACAAAACUCAUGUGGAGAAUAAAAUUAUGAAGAUCGUUAAAGGCGCGCUUGUAUUGAUGAAGGCAGAAAAAAUCGGUGCUAAUCUAUUCAUGCUUAAAGGAGAAACAUUACAGGAGGCUGAUGCAUGUGUCGCAUCAAAUGGAGAAGAGUCAACGAUGAUGUGGCAUCUCAAACUUGACCACAUGUCAUAACAAGAUUUGAAGAUUUUCUCUGAGCGAAAAUUGCUUCCAGGACUUAAAUCGGUACGUUUACCAUUUUGCGAGCAUUGUGUUACAAGUAAGCAUCAUAUAUUAAAGUUCAGUAGAUCUAUUGCUAGAAGUAAACGCAUUCUAGACUUGAUUCAUUAUGAUGUUUGGGAAUCGCCGGAUAUGACCAUGAGAGGUGCAAAGUACAUGGUGACUUUCAUUGAUAAUUAUUCUAGGAGAUGUUGGGUGUAUCUAAUUAGGAAAAAGUCAUAUGUAUUUCUAGUGUUUAAAGAAUACAAAGUGCGGAUGGAACUUGAAUCCGGAAAAAAGAUCAAGUGCUUGAGGACGGAUAAUGGUGGAGACUAUACAGCGGUGAGUUUCUUGCUUUCUGUAGGCAAGAAGGUAUUCAGAGGCAGUUCACGGUAGCAUACACUCCUCAACAAAAUGGAGUGGCAGAGCGGAUGAAUAGGAUUCUUACAGAACGAAUACGAGCUAUGUUGAGGACUGCUGGUCUACCCAUCUACAACUAUUGGGCUGAACACAGCGAUGGAGAUGUAGACUGAAAAGCCAGCUGAUUACUCCUACCUACAUGCAUUUGGAUGUCAUGUGUACGUGAUGUACAAUGCCCAAGAAAGAGCAAAGCUGGAUCCAAAAUCUAGGAGGUAUAUCUUCUUAGGAUAUGCUGAUGGAGUAAAGGGUAUCGUCUGUGGGACCUCACUGCCUACAAGAUCGUCAUCAGCAGAGAUGUUAUCUUUGUAGAAGAUCAACUGCAAAGAAAAGAUGAGGAUGAUAGCACUGUAAAAGAAAAGUCAGAGACUGUGCCGGUAUAUGUGGAAAAUCAUCCAGAAGAUUCAGAUUCUUCUGAAGCAGCACUAGAGCACAAGGAACAAGAACCAGUCGAGUCCGAGGCUCUAGAAUUUCAUCGAUCAACUCGUGAGAGACGACCGCCAGUAUGGCACUCGGAGUAUGUCACAUAGAUCAAUGUUGCAUACUGUCUUCUAACAGAGGAUGGAGAGCCAUCAACUUUUCAUGAAACUUUAAGCAACACAGAUGUUGCUUUAUGGAUGACAGUAAUGCAGGAAGAAAUUGAGCCUCUACACAAGAACAAGACAUGGGAACUUAUACCACUACCACAUGGAAGAAAAGUUAUUGAAAAUAAAUGGGUCUACAAGAUCAAGCGUGAUGGCAAUGACCAAGUGGAGCGGUAUCAUACAAGAUUGGUGGUGAAAGAAUAUGCUCAGAAAGAAGGUAUUGACUUCAACGAGAUAUUUUCUCCGGUAGUUCGACUCACAACAGUCAGAAUAGUCUUGGCAAUGUGUGCUACAUUUGACCUAGAUUUAGAGCAGUUAGAUGUGAAAACUGCAUUUCUUCAUGGAGAACUUGAAGAAGAAAUAUAUAUGCUCCAACCAGGAGGUUUUGCAGAAACAGGAAAAGAAAACUUGGUUUGCAGGUUGAACAAAUCUCUAUACGGUCUCAAACAGGCGCCGAGAUGUUGGUAUAAGAGAUUUGAUUCAUUCAUCGUGAGCCUUGGAUACAACAGACUCAGUUAAGACUAUUGUGCAUAUUACAAAAGGUUUGAAGAUAAUGAUUUCAUUAUUUUGCUGUUGUAUAUGGAUGAUAUGUUAGUAGCAGGCUCCAACAAAGAUCGAAUCCAAGAAUUGAAGGCACAGUUGGCUAGGGAGUUUGAAAUGAAGAACUUGGGACCAGCAAACAAGAUUCUAGGGAUGCAAAUUCACCGAGACAGAAAUAACAGGAAGAUUUGGCUUUCUCAAAAGAACUACUUGAAGAAAAUCUUGCGGGGCUUCAACAUGCAAGAUUGUAAGUCAAUUUAUACCCCACUUCCUGUUAAUUUCAAAUUAUCCUCAAGUAUGUGUCCUAGCAAUGAAGCAGAGAGAAAUGAGAUGUCUCGAGUACCAUAUGCAUCAGCAGUGGGAAGUUUAAUGUUCGCUAUGAUUUGUACAAGACCAGACAUUGCACAAGCAGUGGAGCAGUCAGUCGAUACAUGGUGAAUCCUGGUGGAGAGCAUUGGAUAGCUAUGAAGAGGAUUCUGAGAUACAUCAGAGGAACCUCAGAUGUUGCAUUAUAUUAAAGAGGAUCAGAGUUUACUGUAAGGGGCUAUGUGGAUUCAGAUUUUGCAGGAGACCUUGAUAAAAGAAAAUCUACUACUGCCUAUGUGUUUACACUUGUUGAGUGUUAGAAAAUGCAUAUUUAUAAAGGAGAAAACCGUCAUUUUACAUUUCAAGUCUUACUAACAACCCUUACUUUUAUGUAUUUAACCUUCUUGUGAUGUAAUUACGUGUGUGUUAUUUUAAUUAAGUAUUUUAUGUAUUUUAGGGGCAUUAUAGUCAUUUCACAAUAAAGGAGAGAUCAGACGGCAAAACGGACAUCACUUUUGAACUCAGGACGGUCGAAAACCUUAGGAGGAGCAUAAAAGGAAAAAUGACACUAUUCACAUGUACGGUACUAUUCACGUGUACGAUACUGUCUACGUUACUGUUCACGACACUGUUCACAUAGACGGAUCGAUAACGUGGCAUUGACCGAUGAUGUGGCAUUGACUGAUGAGGUGCCACGAUCCUGUUGGACUAAAAUUCUUAUNNNNNNNNNNNNNNNNNNNNNNNNNNNNNNNNNNNNNNNNNNNNNNNNNNNNNNNNNNNNNNNNNNNNNNNNNNNNNNNNNNNNNNNNNNNNNNNNNNNNNNNNNNNNNNNNNNNNNNNNNNNNNNNNNNNNNNNNNNNNNNNNNNNNNNNNNNNNNNNNNNNNNNNNNNNNNNNNNNNNNNNNNNNNNNNNNNNNNNNNNNNNNNNNNNNNNNNNNNNNNNNNNNNNNNNNNNNNNNNNNNNNNNNNNNNNNNNNNNNNNNNNNNNNNNNNNNNNNNNNNNNNNNNNNNNNNNNNNNNNNNNNNNNNNNNNNNNNNNNNNNNNNNNNNNNNNNNNNNNNNNNNNNNNNNNNNNNNNNNNNNNNNNNNNNNNNNNNNNNNNNNNNNNNNNNNNNNNNNNNNNNNNNNNNNNNNNNNNNNNNNNNNNNNNNNNNNNNNNNNNNNNNNNNNNNNNNNNNNNNNNNNNNNNNNNNNNNNNNNNNNNNNNNNNNNNNNNNNNNNNNNNNNNNNNNNNNNNNNNNNNNNNNNNNNNNNNNNNNNNNNNNNNNNNNNNNNNNNNNNNNNNNNNNNNNNNNNNNNNNNNNNNNNNNNNNNNNNNNNNNNNNNNNNNNNNNNNNNNNNNNNNNNNNNNNNNNNNNNNNNNNNNNNNNNNNNNNNNNNNNNNNNNNNNNNNNNNNNNNNNNNNNNNNNNNNNNNNNNNNNNNNNNNNNNNNNNNNNNNNNNNNNNNNNNNNNNNNNNNNNNNNNNNNNNNNNNNNNNNNNNNNNNNNNNNNNNNNNNNNNNNNNNNNNNNNNNNNNNNNNNNNNNNNNNNNNNNNNNNNNNNNNNNNNNNNNNNNNNNNNNNNNNNNNNNNNNNNNNNNNNNNNNNNNNNNNNNNNNNNNNNNNNNNNNNNNNNNNNNNNNNNNNNNNNNNNNNNNNNNNNNNNNNNNNNNNNNNNNNNNNNNNNNNNNNNNNNNNNNNNNNNNNNNNNNNNNNNNNNNNNNNNNNNNNNNNNNNNNNNNNNNNNNNNNNNNNNNNNNNNNNNNNNNNNNNNNNNNNNNNNNNNNNNNNNNNNNNNNNNNNNNNNNNNNNNNNNNNNNNNNNNNNNNNNNNNNNNNNNNNNNNNNNNNNNNNNNNNNNNNNNNNNNNNNNNNNNNNNNNNNNNNNNNNNNNNNNNNNNNNNNNNNNNGUCCUAAUAAAAGUCCUUGAUUUUAGGGAACUAUAGUCUGAAGUAGAAGCUAGUUAUAUGGGCUAAAAAAAUAUAGUGAUGCAUGAAAGAAAAAAAAAAUUGGUUUGACUAGCAUUUUUAUUUGACUUGAGAUCGUAUUAUUUCUAAGCUGAGGGCAUAUUUCUUUCAUCUUGGUGAGAGCAUGUGAUAUCACUUCUUUAUUAUUUUCUCUCAAUUACCAUUCAUUGGAGUGACUAUUUUUAUUAUAUUUAAUUUCUUUGUAAGAGUGUCACUACUUCCAGUGAGAUUUUGGGGUUUGACAUGUCAUUCUUGAAGGUAGCUAUGACAAAGUCUACUGGGCUGAUUCAUGUGGAUGAUUGAUGUGGGUGUGAUGUUUCUUUAGACUUGAGAUAAUGCUUAUACUUUUAUUUUAUUGUUAUCAUUAGUAUGAUUGAAUAAACAAGAGUGUUUUAAACUGCUGUACCGUACAUCCGCCUUGGCCGUACAGCAGAGCUUGGGUUGAAGGUGAAGUCUCAACAUGUGUCAUGGGCUUAAUUUGGUAAAUUUAUUUUCUCUUCCCCUCUAGUUUUUGUGGAUGUUUUGACUUCUCGUCGACAAAUAAUACUAAUCUUGUCUAGUACCGCCUUGGUUACACCGGCUCUCUAGUAUAAGGUUAUUAUUAUUUGGCACGAUAAGCCCUUAGCACCAUAUUGAUUAGAGCGUGGUUCAUGAGGUGUGGAUUCCCCCCUCAUGAUUUAAUUGGUAUUAAUAAGGCAUAUUUAGCCCAUGAUGCAUGUUGAUACGGAUCCAGAUACCCAAGUACACCAUUUCAAUAGAAUUCUCUUCAAUUUAUUCUCGCCAUUUCAAUUCCAAUUUUAGAAUUUAUUCUCGCCAUUUUAAUUUAAGUUUUAGCAUAUUCCAAAUCAUUUCCACCACAAAUUCAAUCCCCCAUUUACAAAAUUAAUUCUAUACACAAUUAAAAUCUAUCUCCUCGUGGGAUCGACACUCGUCACCAUUGAUCUAUACUACAAUAGAUUCGUGCACUUGCGAGUACAUUAAAAUUUGCACAACAACACUUACGGGAGGAGCUGUAAGCUGGGUUUCAAAACUGCAAACCGUUAAGGAAUUAUCUACAACAGAAGCAGAGUACAUGGCGGCUACACAAGCUUGCAAGGAAGCUAUCUGGAUACAAAGGUUAUUGGAGGAACUCGGGCACAAACAAGAGAAAAUUUCUGUGCUUUGUGAUAGUCAGAGUGUCUUGCACAUUGCAAGGAAUCUAGCCUUUCAUUCCAGGACAAAACACAUAGGAGUUCAGUAUCACUUCGUUCGAGAAGUAGUGGAAGACGGAAGUGUGGAUUUACAAAAAAUCCAUAUGAAGGAGAAUCUAGCAGAUGUUUUGACCAAGCCAAUAAAUACUGAUAAGUUUGUCUGGAUUAGAUCCUCUUGUGGCCUAGCAGAAACGUAGGUAACAUGAUUAUGGCGAAGUAGAAAGAAUAGUGUAGAGAUUGAUUGAUUCUCAAUUUAAUCUCCAAGUGGGAGAAUGUCAAAGUCAUGGUUGGGCGGUUUGGCACCAUUAACAUUUUUCAAAAUGACCACCCAAAUUGAAGUCCAAGUAGAUGCCGCCCAAGGAAAGGAAAAAAAAGGGAAAUUUUGACAAAGAAGAAAGAAGAAUGAAGAAAAUGCUGCAAAUGGUGGUUGGCACACCAAAAUGGAAGAAAAGAAAAAAAAAUUAUUAUUUUAAUAGCCAAUUUUGGCUAUAAAAGGGGGAGCUCCCCAUCGGCUUAGAGCAUCCAAAUUUUCCAUUUUAUUUCUUCUUCUUUAGAGAGAAAGUGAGAGUAUUUUAAGAGUUUUAACAAACUCUUGAGUGAUUUGUGAUUUGAGAGUUUUGGGUGUAUUGGGGUUUUGGGUAGUGAGACAAAAUACCACAAUACUUGUAACUCUUUUUUACUAGUAAAAUAUUUUCCUUCUAUUUUCGCCAGUGGACAUAGGCUAAAAACCGAACCACGUAAUUUCUGGUGUCCUCUAUUGUGCUUGUUCUUUAGUUUCUUCCAAUUUUAUUUUAGUUGCGUGUCAGCUUCACCCACUAAUUUCCUAAUAGUCAUCGACCUGCAGAAAUUGCUCUCUAGAGAUGAUUCAGAGCUUGAGAAGCUUGACCUUGCAUGCAAAGAAUAGGGUUUCUUUCAUGUAUACGUACUCUUCUUUGUUAAUUAUUGUCAUUUUCCAUAAUUUUAGCAAAUUAUCCAAGUAGUGCUUGUAUUUUCCCCAACACAAAAAAAAAAAAAAAAAAAAUCAUCUAAAACGUCCUCUAUUGUAUUUUUGUUGAUUCAUUGAUAUCAAUUUAAUUAUCAUUUUUUUUCACCUCCUAAAUGUUGAAUUAAUUUGAAUUUUAAUUAUUUGAAAUUAUGUAAAUAUUAUUUUAUCCUUAAAAAAUCGGAUCCAAUCGCUACAAAAAUAUGUUUUAAGUAAUCUUUUUGAAAAAAUAAUGAAAUAUGUAUCGAAAAUAAUACAAAAAUUAGUAUAAAAACUACAAAAGAUUAAAAAAAAAUUUCUUGUCUUGUAAUAAUUUUUUUCAUCCUAUAGUUUUUUUUUUUUUUUUUGGUUUUCUAGUAUGACGUACCAUUUUUAUACUAUUUUUUGUGAACAUAUUAUUGUUGUUUUGAAAGGAAAUCGACUGACUAGAUGAUUAGCUCAAAUUAUGGGAAUUAAAUGAGUAUUUCUUCAUGUUUUUCUGACUUCAAAUUAAUUUCUGUGGAACAUAUAUGACAACAACAUCGUGCUUUGAAUAAUUUGCAUGUAGCUGGUGAAUCAUGGAGUGAGCAGUUCACUGGUGGAGAAAAUGAAAGCUAAGACCCAAGACUUCUUUGAUCUUCCAAUUGAGGAAAAGAACAAGUACUGGCAUCGACCUGGUGAUAUUGAGGGAUUUGGGCAGCUCUUCAUUGCUUCUGAGGAGCAGAAACUUGAUUGGGGAUACGGCUUUACCAUAUUCACUCUCCCAAUUCAUUCGAGAAGACCCCACCUGUUCCCCAAAUUGCCUCUCCCAUUCAGGUUUUCUCUGCCUCUCAAUUUUUCUUUUUUCAUUUUUAGCCACACAACACACCAAUUAUUGAUGCAACGUUUCGUCCAUCUAACAAUACUACAAUAGUGCUGCAUUGCUAGAGAUACCUUGGAAGUUUACUUAACGGAAGUGAAAAAUCUUACCCUGAAAAUGCUUGACCAAAUGGAAAAAGCUCUAAGAAUGGAUCCCAAUGAGAUGAAAGAGUUGUUUGAAAUGGUGUGCAAUCAAUAAGGAUGAAUUAUGACCCUCCUUGUCAACAACCAGAGCAAGUUAUUGGCUUGAAUUCUCAUUCUGAUGCCUCUGCACUCACCAUCCUCCUCCAAAUCAAUGAGAUGGAUGGCCUCCAAAUAAAGAAAGAUGGAAAUUGGGUUCUCGUUAAACUCCUCCCUGAUGCUUUUAUCAUAAACGUUGGUGACGUUUUGGAUGUAGCACUCAUCACUUUCUACUGCCUUUGUUUUCUACUUUAACUUAGUGUUUUCUUAAUUCCCUUCAGAGCACUUAUAUUAAAUGAUGACCAAAUUAACUAUAAAACUGUGCAGGAUUACUUUGUUAAUUAAAUCUGUGAUUCUUCUGUGAACGUUCAGUUUGUUUAACAUUUUUCUUAUAUAAGAUUUUCUCAUGAUCUUAUCUAUGUCCUAUAUAAGAUGGGAUGCUAAGGAACUUGAGGAUAUGUAUGUCCUAUAUAAGAUUUUCUCAUGAUCUAAUCUUGUACUAAGCAAAAAUUUGUUCAUGUUCCACCCAUAACUAUCAUAACCUCUGUUAGGGAAGUGCAGGUUUAGCAAUUAUCCACAUUACGGUGAUUGCAACUUUUAUAUAAAUAUAAAUGUGGUAAUAAACAAAUAAAAAGAAAAAUUUGAACACAAUAAUUUACUUGUUUUGACGUAAAGCCUACGUCCAAGAGCAAAGACUAGAAGAUAAUUUCAUGAGCUAAUAAAUGCGAAUUAACAAAAUUAGAAAAAAAAAAUCUCAAAACUCAAAAUCCCAAUACACCCAAUUAGAUCUUGACUAGAACACGUAGGUUGAAACUCUUUCAAAUCUCUCAAAUUACUUUACUUGCAAUUGCUCUCAAAAUGUGAAUGCCUUCAAAUGACCAAAUGGCUUGGUAUUUAUCGCUAAAGACCAUUUUGACAAACAUUUGUUCAUUUGAAGGCAUCCACAUUUUGAGAUAAACUACAAGUGAAGCAAUAUUAGACAUUUGAGAGAGUUUAUACUUGAAUGUUCAAGUGAGGAUCCAAUUCGGUGUAUUAGGUUUUUGGUUUUGAGAGUUUUUUCUUCAUAUAAAGUAUGUUUUCAUGGCUUUUCUUUAUAUAUUUUUCUUCCAAUGUUUUCCCACAAUUUCUUUACUGAUGUCUCACUCAUGACAAAGUAUUUAUGAUCUUUAACUAGACAUAAGUGAAUAGUACCACAUACCUAUCUAUUGAUUUUUGUCCACUAUCUAUUGAUUUUUGUCCACUCCUCGUGAUUUAUCUUCUCAGUCUUUUCUUUAAGAGUAAGCUCCAACUCUUUCUAACAUAAGAGAUCCAUCACCUCAUAUUGCUGCAUACCAAAAUUAUUAGUACCAUUGAAUUUGUCCACUUCAAACUUUGCAUUAGUCACAAUAGUCAUCGCUGAUGAAGACAACAAUGAUGUCUCUAUCAUCUUUCUUAACCUAAAUGACCAAUGCUGUCAGUAGCUAUUCAUAAAUAGACUGUCUCCCAAGUACAAAUCGUCGUCUCCAUCGUAUGCGUGAAUAGUACCAUAUCUACAAAUAAUAUUAUUUACGUGAACAGUGUAGUAUACCCCAAGUAUGAACCUUUGGCUCUAAUACCAAUUUUUGCGGAAGCGCGGGUUGAGCAAUUAUCAAUAUUAUGGUGACUGUGACUUCUGCAGAAAUAUAAAUAUGGUAAUAAGAAAAUGCAAAAAAAUAAAUUAAAUACAAUAAUUUAUGUGGUUCGGCAUAAAAUCUACAUUCACGGGCAAAGAUUAAAGCUAAUUUCAGUAAUAAAUGGGAAUUUACAAAAUUGAGAAAAAAGCUCUCGAAGCCGAAAACCUCAAUACACCCAUUUGGAUCCUCACUAGAACACUUAAGUAAUAGCUCUCUCAAAUCUCUCAAAUUGAUUUACUUGCAAUUGCUCUCAAAAUGUGGAUGCCUUCAAAUGAACAAAUGGCUUGGUAUUUAUAGCCAAAGAUCAUGCAUGCAUUUAAUUCCUUUGUCCCCAAAAGCUUUGAAAAACGGCAACCAAAAUCAACAAUUUUGACAAAUUCAAGCGGCAUCUAGAAAAACCACCACAUUUUUCUCCAUGCAUAUGUCAACAAAAACAUGCCGCCGAUUUUGCUUUUUGAAAUUGGCGAGCGAUUAUUUGACUUUCAACAGCCUCGAUAAAGUUUGGCAGAAUAAUAAUAUGGCAUAACCAACAUAACCUGGGCAAAGUUUAGCAAAAUAAUAAUACGGGCAGAACAUUUGGCCGUAAAACGAUCUACAGAAGGAUAGACAUUCUCAAAUCUCAGCUUAUUUCUGUCUUUCCAAAUCAAAUAAAGCAGGUAAUAACUGGUGGUGACCCAAAUAUUAUAAAGUUGAGGACUAAUUAAUCUGAUAUUGAAAAAUAAACUCCCAUAAAUCAUUAAUCUGGAGACUUUAGUACAAGACAAAGCAAGGUCAAUAAAAUAACUAAUAGGAGGAAGAGGAUCCGACAACCAUCUGUCAAUCCAAAAAAUGAAUAAAGAAGCCAUCAGCAAUAACACUUUAAGAGACCAGCCUAUUAAGAGGAAUUAACAAAAAACCGAUUGGUGUAUAAUAAGUUUGUAACAAGCUUUAAGAUAGUCAGCAUACAUAGAAGAAUGAUUUUUAACAUUGCAUAAAAUCUUUUACAGGCAUGCAUGAUCUAUUUAAAAUAUCUAGACGACGAAGUCCAAGACCACCCACUGCCUUUAACAAACAAAACUGAUCGCAAUGAACUAACGCUAUCUUCCGAGAACUGUAAUCACAAGAAAUGAAUUUCCGAGACCAGGUAUGAAGCUGUUUGAUCAAAGAUUUAGGCCAUAAAUAAAUCUAGAUGCUAUAGAGCAAAGGACUGCGGAAAAUAGCUUUAACGAGCCCCACUCUACCGGUUUAAACCGUUUUGAGCGAUUUGAACUUUAUACUAUUAUCAAGAUAUUCAUAAUAUCUUCAUUAAUAAAAUGGUAUUCGAAAUAGAUGGCUUAAUUGUCGCCAUCUUUCUAAAGGCAAUGAAUUUCCUUUUCUGUUGUACUUUUAGAUAAUAAAAGGGUGUUAUGGAUCAUCCAGCAAAUCUUGAUCAUGAGUACUCCAGGUUUACUGGAUGGCAUGUGGUGCCUUCAAAGGUACAAACAUCCUUCCAAAGAAGUUAGAUGGUCUUUCAAGUUAGAGAUUAUUUCAGUUUUGAAGAGGUAAGCCUCACUAUGUGCUCUCCUGAAUUGAUGCAACUGUUUCUUUUAUAUCCAAAAAAAUUGCCCUCUCUAUCGAGGUUUCUCGAAAAAUUAAAUUUUUACUUCAAAUAUGAGAAUAAAAACCUAUCUUUAGGAGAACAAAAUUGAAUGAGGUAAAGUGAAAUUUAUAUUAUUAAAGAAGUAUUUAAUUAAGGGUGGUGAUAUUUCCACCCCACAAAUUCUGCAAAUCCACCCCACUUUUAAAAAAUAAUUACAAAAAAUUCUCAUUAUUUUUAAAAAUUUCAAAUAAAAAAGAAUUCAGAAGAAUUAAUCAAUUAAAUCUAUUUAAAUUUAUUUUGUUGUGACUUAGAUUUUUUUAUUAUAUUUGACUAAUAAGACUGCUUUAACCUAAAUUUAAAUUGACUAUUUUACGCUUAAAGGGUAAAAAUACCAAAAAUUUAAUUUAGCUUCAACAAUUUCUUAAUUUCAUACAAAAUUCAUUGUUUCUAAAUUGUUAAUUUUACUUUAUUAAUAUGAUUAUUAAUUUUUAAUUAAACUAACAUAAUGUUCUUAUGAGAAAAUUCUCAUUAAAUUAUUAGCCUGUCAAAUUUAUGUCAUUUACAUGUAAAAUAUUGAAAAUUAUUAGACGUCAUUUAAGAAGUGAUGGUUGUCGAAGCCAGUAAAAAUAAAUACCUACUCUAAAUAAAUUGUGUAUAGGGAUUGAGAAGGGUCGUGUCCACAGAGAUCGGUAAUUAUUUAAAUCCUUUUUAAAAUGUAAAUUGCAAAAUGGGGGGAUUGUUGACAAUAAUAAAAAUCAAAUUAAAAUAACAAGAAUGCAAAUUAAAAUUGUAAUUCAAAUUGCGAAAAGCUCUGGUUGAAGGAAUUAACUCAGCUUGAUUCAACUACUGAUAAUUUUAAAAUAACAAGAAUGCAAAUUAAAAUUGUAAUUCAAAUUGCGAAAAGCUCUGGUUGAAGGAAUUAACUCAGCUUGAUUCAACUACUGAUAAUUGAUUCAAAUAUAAAUCAUUGCUACUUAUGAAUAGACCGGUUGUAGCUACUGAGACCCUCUAAUAGCCAAUCUCUCCUUAACUAGUCGAUAACCAAGGUACGACCAUUGGUUAUUUCCCUAAUCAAUAGAUAACCCUAGAUACGAUCAUAGGAUUUAAUCAAUUGACAGCCUGAAAAACCAGAGAGACCCAAAUCCUAAUCAACAAACGCAUACGAUGGUUCAUUUAAAUUAGAUUGUUUAUUCUCAUAACACAACGCACUGCUAUGUUAUUUGUCACAAACAUUGAAAUCUUCAUACGAUGAAUCCUAUAAUUGACAAUAUAUUAAGUUGAUAAUUAAAUAGUGGCAUAUUAUCUAAUUAACAAACAUAAUCAUGACAAUAAUUUUGAGAAUAAACAAAUACCCAAAAAGUAAUAAAACAAUUAAAGCAUAAGAAAGAUCUCACAGUAAUGAUGAAUCAAAGCUUCAUUAACCUUCAACCAGAAUAAUAGGUUUAGUUCUUCAUAGAGAGAAGAGAAAAAUUUAGAUCUAGGGUUUCUUUCUUCUUCCUCUUUCCAAAGUCCCCUCCUCUCUUGUUUUUCACGUCUCCUUCCUCUUAUAGAGUUUUUCUAAAAAUAAAAUACUAACAUCUAAAAUAUUAUCUAAAUAUUAAAUUCAAAAGUACAAAAUUAACCAAAAAGACAAAACACGUUAAACUAAAAACUGCAGGUCCGUAGUUGACAGCACACCCCCACACCUUAUCAACAAAGUUCUUCUGAAGCUCAUAAUUUCUCAAGGAAAACAAUCAUCCCCAAACAUCAUCUUGUAGCUCAAUUUUAGCACCAAUCAAUAUAAUUGCACCUACAAAAAUAAAAUACAAGUAAAUCACUAUUAUUAAGUGCAAAACAUCGAUAUUAAAGGAAGUAAACAAUGCAAAACUAGUGCAUAAAUUGCACUCUAACAAGAAGUUAGAUUAAAAGUCAAAAAACUAAGUACCUAAAGUAUUAGAUACAAGAACACAUAUUUUUUUGGACAAGUGGGUCAUUUUAUGUCAUAAAGCAAAAUAAUUAAAUGGAACUUAUAUUAAAGCUACUUUAAUAGUUUUAAAAAACUAAGUAAAAAAAUAUAAGAAUGAUUUAAUUGAUUAAUUAUAUAUAUUUUUUUGUUGAUUUGUAUUUAUUAGAAAAAAAUGUGUAUUUAUUGCAAAUAUUUUGUAGAAGUGAAGGGGGUUUAGGCAAAUAAUUGGGUGGAAAUAUCCCCACCCCUUAAUUAACUAAAGGAAGAUUGUCAAUUCCUCCCCUACUGUAAUUAAUAUUUAUGAUUUGCGCCCUCAUAUUUUUAUAAUAGCCAAUAAUCCCUCAACAAUAUAAGUUUACAAUAUUACCCUUGUUUUUAAAUACACUUUUAUUCAUAUUUAUUAUAGAUUAAAUAAAUCAUGUGAAUGGAAAUUAAAAUAAAAAAAUUAAGUAUAAAAAAUAAGAAAUAUAUGUUUUCAUGUGAAAAAAAUUAAUAAUAAAAUAUUUUUCUUAUACUUUUUUUUAUUUUAUAAACAUUUUCUUAUAAUAAAUAUAUAAGAAAAUUAUUAUAAUAUGAUAAAAAAACUGCUGUACCGUAAAGAAAAUAUUUACAAAAUAAAAAAGUACAAGAAAAAAUUUUAUUAUUAAUUUUUUUGUUCACAUCAAAGCAUAUAUUUCUUGUUUUUAAUAUUUAAUUUUUUUAUUUAUUUUCUAUUCAUAUGAUUUAUUUAAUUUAUAAUAAAUAUAAAUAAAAGUAUAUUUUAAAAUAGACGUAAUAUUGUAAACUUAUGUUGUUAUGGGAGUUACUAGUUAUUAUAAAUACAACAGGGAAAUAAAUUGUAUAUAUUAAUUACAGUAGUGGGGAAAUUGAUAAUCUCCCUUAACUAAAUAUCAUCUUAAAGUAUAUGAAAACUGAAUAAGGUAAAGUAAAAUUUACAUUAUUAAAGAAGUACCAAUUAACUAAAUAUCGUAUCAAAGUAUAUGAAUAUAAAAAUCCAACUUCAUACAAAUGCUUGCAUAGCUAGAAACAUCAUAUUAACCUAUAAAAGAUAUCAAAUUAUCAAUAAGCCAUUAAGCCUCAACUUUUAAUUUCUCAUAAAGAUCAUCAUUAUCAUCAACUGAGUCCGCAAUCUUGGCUAAAACUCUCUCCCUUAUUUGCGGAUCUUCUCUUGUUAUUUUCAGCUAGGGAUUCUCUCAGGCUUUAGUUCUCCAAGAAGAAUCCAAAGAUGAAGCCGCAUUGACAAUGUAUAUCAACAAACAUCGAUCACCUAAAAAAAUAUUCCGUUGCGUAAAUAUACGGUAAAUAUAUAUAACGGGUCUUGCUAAGUUAUAUCAUAUGUAACGUAUAUCGACCAAAUUUUUUUUUUUUUUUAAUUUUUAUGACUCAAUUGUUACUUGUCACACAACUAAGGUUAUAGGACACUACUUUUAGGUCAACUACAAAUUACAUAUAAUGUAACUUAGUAGUUACCUUAAUGUAGAUUUCCCUUUGAGUAGUUAACACUAAGAAUGGUAUGCUUAAACUCCUAGCGCAUGUCAUAUUGAUAAUAUAAGAAGAUGGUUCAUUUGAGUUUGACUAAAAUGCCCUUGUGGACUUGUCGUACUAAUAUAUUUAACAACGAAAUUUAGGACUAGUUUUGUAAUGUUGUAGCUUUUAAAAUAAUUUCUAUUAGAUUUGUAGUGGACCUAAUCAAUUGUGAACAAAAUCAACUAAAUGUUCAGUAAAUUUUAUUUCUAAAAGUGUUGGGAGUAUUAAAAUUAAUUAUACAUAUUAAAUCUUAUUAUUAAAUUAUUGUUAGAGUACAAGUGACUAAAAUAGACAUAAUGUUAAGUGAAAUUUACUUCAACAAAUAGUCCAGGAUUCUAUACUUUAUUAAAGUACCAAAAAGUUAUUAAAAUAUAUGCUUUAAUAGUAUUAUAUCAUACACUAUUAAACUAUAUGGCUUAAUAGUAUUUCCAGACUUUAACAAAUCUAGGAUUCUAGAUUGGAAUAUAUAUAAUUCACCUUAAAUUUUAUUAAAUAUUAAAAAACACAUAUUAACCCUAUCUUGAAACAAUGAUAUUUGCACUAUUAGAGAAUUAUUGAUGGAAUGGAAAAUAGAGAGAAAAAGAAUUGGGAUAAAGAGCGUGCAUGAAAAAAAAAUCAAAAUGAUAAUAAUCUUAAACUUUCUGAUUUUAUUUGUUAAUUAAUUAAGGAUAAUGUUGGUCUUAUGUAAAAUAUGUAACGAUAUAGUAAAUUACCAAAAUUAAUUAUACAUAUUAAAAUUUAAAUUUUAUUUGAUGCUCAAAAUCAAAUUUUGUCACGAGUGAUUUCAAAAAGAAAAUUACCAAAAUUAAGUUUUUACUUCUUAAAUUACUUUGAAGUCUUAAUAGUAAUCUUAAAUGAGUCCUCAGUCAAGAUGAAACAAAAAUAAAUUUAAAUUAUUUUAAAAAGUCAGGUCCUCUCGUAAAAAAAAAAAGUCAGGGUCCCCCUUUAAAUUUCGUUAUUUCUAUCAAAAUUUCUGCCGUUCAGAUAAGAGUAAAAGUGUCUAGGAGCGUAUUUGCUGACCGUUGGAUGCAAAAUAUCUCACCGUCCUCCCAGUAACGUACGAUGUUCGACUGGCCUUCGACCACAAAGAAGAUAUUUGGUUUCAAAAUUUUGACCGUUCAUAUAAAGCCACCGAUCAAAUGGCUGAGUUUUGUUAUCCCCAAGUUGGACAUAAUCAAACUGCAAAAUACACGUUACUUUUGCAACCACGCUGACGUGGAAACAUAGAGUUAUGAAUCCGUUUUUGUCGAUAGCAUUGUUGAUGGCCCAGGGCCAAUGUGGUACUUAUGUAAAAUAAUUAUUAAGCUGUUUUUAGCAGUUCAACCAUUUUAAAAAUCUCAACCGAAACUUAUAGGAAGCGAAAAACCACAAUAUUUAAGAUUUUUCAAAUGUAUGCAGAGGCAACAAAAUCAAUCACACUUGUAGGGAAGAUUCCCAAUUCCAAAGUCAAUUUAAAAGAUUGGAGUAUUAUUUACCACGACGAAACCAGGAACUCCAGGGGUAUUUUGUCUACGUAGCCAUGUUGAAAAUAAUUCAACAAAUCGUAAGAAAGAUCCAAACUAACAAAAAAGUCCCCUUCUAAGUUUGCCAAAUGCUCUGCCUCCUCAGUAUCUUUUCCAGCUUCAAACCAUUUCAGAAACACGGCCAAACAUUCCUUAGAGGAAUCCACCCGAUUCCAGUUUCACAAAUUGAUUUCUUCAUCGCUUCCAUUGCCUUUUCUGUUUGAUCAUUCUGAAGAUACCCCGUUGCCAUAAGAUACCACGUCCUCACAUCAGGGUUCAGCCCCCUUGAUUGUGCAUUGUUGAUAAUAGCUUCAGCCUUCCCUAAAAGACCUUUUCUGCAAUAUGCAGCAAUCAAGGGAUUUAUAACAUGGAUACAAUAAUGUGGAUUCCCCUUGGGCCAAUUCACUUCCUCCAAAAUCGUCUCAGAAAUUUCCAGGUCGUCAAAUUUCAGCACAGAAGGAAUGACGGAGCCUGCCACCUUCCAACCGCUCGAGUUCUUUUUGCAGAAUUCCCAAACUCUUAAAACAUCGUCUUUAUUCCCAAAUUCCGCAUACUUUGAGAUAAGAAAAUCAUACGGUGGGUAUCUGUCUUGUCCACCCGUUGCCAGUCCCUCACAUUUCUUUAGCAUUGCAUGAGUCUUGUCCAGAAGCCCAGCUCUUGCAUACCCACUUGCUGCAAUAGCAUAAACUGACAAGUCUACAACAAAAUUGGGAUCCGAUUCCAUCAUUGUCACCAUCUUCUUAAUUCCCUUGCAAUCAGAAACAGCUGCAUAUGCACUCAGACGGAUGUAGAAUGUAUAAUCGUUGUAACCAAUACCCUUUUCUUCAAUUUCCAGCACCAUACUUUCAAUUUUCUCAAGUUUUCCAGUCUGAUAGUAAAGAUUAAGCAUACAAUCGUAAGCCAUUGUUUCCCUGUCUAACCCCAAAUCCCUUAAUGUCUGCAUGAUGGCUUCCGCUUUCUUCACAGACUCUGAUUUGUACACAGAAUCUAGUUUGGCAUAGCAAUAAAGCAAAGCAAUAUAAACCUCGAGAGCCCUUAAGUUUUCUGGAAUGUUACUGAAAAAAAUUUCUGCUCUUCUAUUCCCUUAUAAUGGAAAAUCAAAACCAGUCGAACAGCAAUAUCACCAGUUGUAAGUUCAAAGUAUCUUUUGUUCCACAUCGGUAUCUGGAGAAAAGAGAGAUUAUAAUAAAAGGAUUGCAAAAAAUAAAAUGAGACGACAAAAGCAUGCUAAACUGACAAACAAUACCAAACAAGUUUUGCAACAAGAUAAUUAAAAAAAAAAAUCAAUUAUCAAUAAUAGCUCAAAUUUCUUAUGCUUUCAAGGAAGCUAAAUUUGGCAGAACAUCAAAACUAUUUUACCAGCCAGUCAAUUUUCUUGAUUAAUAUAGGUACCCAAGAUAACGAGCAAGUCUUAGAAAACAAAAGCAAUAAAAUAUUACAACUAAAAUCACACAUCUGUGCGUGCUGUGAAAUGAUGUCGUGUUUGAAGGAUCCUUUGAAAAAUACACCAAGCACCCAAUUUAAUAUCAGCUGAUUUCGGUUAUGUUUAUAAAAGGUGAAAAUAUAUAAAAUAACAUUUGAUUCCAAUUCCAUAAUGCAAAAUCAUUAAAACACAGAGAAGUAAAGACUGAUGCAAUUGAUAACCCAAAUGGAAAAAAAAAAAAAUGAAAUCUGAUGAUUUAAUAAAUACCUCGAGAGCAUCCAAGUAACAUGCUUUGUUUAGCAACAGAUCCAUAUUGAACUCAAUGUCAUCUUUGCCUACGUCUUCUCCCAUUUUAGCCAUUUCAUCGAGCUCCUCAAACACCCAGACUGCCGGGCUUCCGACAGUCCGACUGGGGAGAUCUUUUCCGUUGAACCCCAAAAAGCACUUGUUGUUUGGUCUCGUGUUGUUGUUGUUGACAGCCGGGAAGCUCCCAAUAAACGACAAAAGCAUGCUAAACUGACAAACAAUACCAAACAAGUUUUGCAACAAGAUAAUUAAAAAAAAAAAUCAAUUAUCAAUAAUAGCUCAAAUUUCUUAUGCUUUCAAGGAAGCUAAAUUUGGCAGAACAUCAAAACUAUUUUACCAGCCAGUCAAUUUUCUUGAUUAAUAUAGGUACCCAAGAUAACGAGCAAGUCUUAGAAAACAAAAGCAAUAAAAUAUUACAACUAAAAUCACACAUCUGUGCGUGCUGUGAAAUGAUGUCGUGUUUGAAGGAUCCUUUGAAAAAUACACUAAUGAUGUAGGAAACCAAGCACCCAAUUUAAUAUCAGCUGAUAUUUCCGUUAUGUUUAUAAAAGGUGAAAAUAUAUAAAAUAACAUUUGAUUCCAAUUCCAUAAUGCAAAAUCAUUAAAACACAGAGAAGUAAAGACUGAUGCAAUUGAUAACCCAAAUGGAAAAAAAAAAAAAUGAAAUCUGAUGAUUUAAUAAAUACCUCGAGAGCAUCCAAGUAACAUGCUUUGUUUAGCAACAGAUCCAUAUUGAACUCAAUGUCAUCUUUGCCUACGUCUUCUCCCAUUUUAGCCAUUUCAUCGAGCUCCUCAAACACCCAGACUGCCGGGCUUCCGACAGUCCGACUGGGGAGAUCUUUUCCGUUGAACCCCAAAAAGCACUUGUUGUUUGGUCUCGUGUUGUUGUUGUUGACAGCCGGGAAGCUCCCAAUAAGUUUGCAUGACUAAAUUGGGUUUUCUUAAUCCUGUGCAAAAUAGCACCCAACCGUAACAUCAGUGCAGCCUACUGAGAUAUUGUACAUGGAAGAAGAAAGUGAUAGCCGAUUGUUAUAAAAUAUAUAUCCAAAGGUUUCUUGGGAAAGAAGCAAUCAAUGACUGUCAGUUAUGGGGGUAAAUUUGUAAUUGUAAUCGACGACAGUUUUUACGGUUUAUUAUAUUUUGUUUUCGAUUGAAAGCGAAAAGGCUAUAGUUGAACUAAGUCAAAUUAAAUAUCACGUUGAAAGUAUUACAAUCAGACCUCUACUUAUAUCAUUUGAUAUAUACAUCAUAAUUAGAGCACCACUCAUAUAUUUACAAUUAAAUUUUUAUUGAGAUCAACCUACAUUAAUUCUGUUGUGACACACUUCAAACUAAUUACACAAUAUUUACAAUCAGCUAUUUAUGGUGAUUGAUCAAAAUCAAUUUCAUUAUUGCACAGCCCAACCCAAGUAUUGUAAUAUUUACAGGCGUAAGAGUAGCUGGGAUGCACGGGUUAGGUGACAGUGGGCUCAGAGUCAGUUUCAUUAUAAGCUUCUUCUAAUAUUUAAGAUCUAUUUGCUAUAAUAAUAAUUUUACUUCGUUGAGAUAUUUAAUAUGUAUACCAACAGAUGUGUAAGUGAUUAUGUUGUAUUAUUUGAUUGGUUCAAGUGAACUUAACUACUCAGUCUUAUCAUUUCAUAUCUAAAUGAUAAAUUUAUAUUGGUGACACAUUAAUUAGUACACCAAUUAAGAAUCCUAACUAAAUGAAUAUAACAUUUCGUUACUCAUGAAGCAUAGUUAUAGUGGAUAUUUCACUCUCAUUUCUCCACAUCAUCCUCCACUUCUCAAUUCACCCCACUAAAAAUUUUAAAAUAAUUUUUUUAUCACUCAAUUUAUCCUGUCUAAUCCUCACUUUACUCUUAUGACAAUUUUUAUCCUCUUCUCAUACACUCCACCGUAUAAAACUUUAAAAAUCUGCUUUAAAAACGAAAAGGGACUCUUUGAUAAUCUCUGUGGGUUCAUUAUCAGUGCAGCCGUGGGUUUCUUUCAAAUAUUAAAAAUGUUUCUCAAUUAUAAUCUCCCAAAUUGCCAUCGUAGAACAAAAACACUCAACAAAAGCCAAAAAAAUAAAAAUAAUAAUAAAUGCUUGAUAGAAAGUGGAUUAGAUUAACAAAAGAAACGAAACAUAACAUUGCAUUUUUCGCCUUGAAAAUGGAAUUGAAAGGCCCUCUCAAUUUGUUUCUCUACCUCUGUUAUAACAGGAAUGACAUUUUCGAAAAAAUGAUUAUAAAAUAAUGUAAUGAAGAAUCUCUUUGAAUCUAGCUGUUGGAGAUCUUCUAAUCUAACCUCUCUUUAUAAUUUAUUAUGAUAUUUAAUUAGAGCAAAGUUUAGACCAGACUUUACAGAUUGUUAACUUUAAACAUUCAUUGCAUACUUUGCUGUUUGUAGGGUGAAGAAAGGAAGUGAAAAUAUUAAUCCUAUUACUGUUACACCUCAUAAAAUAUUAAAGGUUUCAUAAAUACCCAACAAGUUACCAACUCUAGAAACUGGAUAAAAAAAAUUUACGAGUAACAUUGUUUGGUUUUGAAAAUAAAAAAUAAGACUGUAAGUUCCCAAUUGAAAAAAUGAAAAAUAAAAACAAAUCAGUUGCAUAUUCUAUUGCUUGAAGAUUAUCAAUUAAGAGCAUGAAUUGGAUUCUAGCACAUAACUCUCUAGUAAGGAUAAGAGAAAAUUCUCUUUUUAAAAAAAAUACUAUUUCAUUUAAAGGUAUCAUAGUGAUAUUUUGUUAAAGAGAGGCUUAAAUAUCACUUUAACAAAAAUAGAAUUAUAUAGAAUGAAGUUCUGUGAUAAAGAAUUAAAUUGUGUGAGAUAUAAUAAGAUAUAAACAAAAGACUGUUUUGAUACAUAAAAGAGUAUAGAAUAAAAAUUAAUUAUAAAAUUUAUUAAAUGAGUGUAAAAAUCAAAUGAUAUUCAAAAUUAAAUGUAGAGUGCAAAUAAUUCAUUCUAAGAUUAUCUUUAUCGUCUUAAUGUUGCACUAAUCAGUGUCCUUAUAAAAGUCAAAAUUCUCUCGAAUUUUCAUAUUAAAAUUGAUAUUUUAAAGCACACAAUUACAGUACAGUACAUCCUGAGGAUUAUUUAUACAUGAAUUUCUCGUUAAAACACAGACCAGCUGAGUCUACAGCAGAGAAAAGAAACAAAAAUGUAAUAGCUAGAAAUCAGUUAAUCUAAAUCUAUAUAAUAUGGGGACCAAAGCAACAGUUAUUGGGAGUUCUCUGGUGGAGCCUUCGAUUCUGGAGCUGGCAAAUAAUCAGCCACUGAUCACAGUUCCUCCACGUUAUGUUCGCGCUGAGAUAGACCAUCCCCUGAUUCGCAACGACGAUUCUUCAACACGACAACUUCCAGUCAUUGACAUGCACAGGCUGCUCUCUGGGGAUGACUCAGAGCUUGAGAAGCUUGAGCAUGCAUGUAAAGACUGGGGUUUCUUUCAGGUACAUAAUAAUUGAGCAGUGAUAUUCAGAUAAUAAAAAUACUUGAUCGCAAAUCAUUGCUUUUGUUAGCGUUCUUUCGGCUCUCGGUGUUUUUAGCAUUUUCCAUAAAAAUCAUUUUAUUUCCUGAGCUUUAAGUUUCCUAUAAGAACCAUGUAUGGAAAGAACAGCUUGUUUUAAUCUGCAUAUAUGCAGUUGAUGAAUCAUGGAGUGAGCAGUUCAUUGGUGGAGAAAGUGAAAGAAGGAUUCAAGACUUCUUUAAUCUUCCAAUUGAUGAGAAAAAGAAAUUUUGGCAGCAGCCAGGGGAUAUUGAGGGAUUUGGGCAGCUUUUUAUUACGUCUGAAGAGCAGAAGCUUGAUUGGGGAUACGGCUUUACUAUGUUCACUCUCCCAACCCAUCUGAGGAAACCC